RNAcentral lists this transfer RNA (90 nucleotides) under Acidithiobacillus thiooxidans. RNAcentral describes it as "tRNA-Ser". It matches the Rfam family "tRNA". From Rfam's summary of the family: Transfer RNA (tRNA) molecules are approximately 80 nucleotides in length. RNAcentral also lists the same sequence under 1 other name. The record is from RNAcentral. Lineage: Bacteria; Pseudomonadati; Pseudomonadota; Acidithiobacillia; Acidithiobacillales; Acidithiobacillaceae.
GGAAAAGUGGCAGAGUGGUUGAAUGCGUCCGGCCUGAACCCGGAAGAUCGUCUCAACGGUCCGUGAGUUCGAAUCUCACCUUUUCCUCCA